This 253-nucleotide ribosomal RNA is filed under the name uncultured bacterium. RNAcentral describes it as "partial 16S ribosomal RNA". It matches the Rfam family "Bacterial small subunit ribosomal RNA", at positions 524 to 776 of the family's 1533-position model. The record is from RNAcentral.
UACGUAGGUCCCGAGCGUUGUCCGGAUUUAUUGGGUGUAAAGGGCGUGUAGGCGGGAAUGCAAGUCAGAUGUGAAAACUCAGGGCUCAACCCUGAGCCUGCAUUUGAAACUGUGUUUCUUGAGUGCUGGAGAGGCAAUCGGAAUUCCGUGUGUAGCGGUGAAAUGCGUAGAUAUACGGAGGAACACCAGUGGCGAAGGCGGAUUGCUGGACAGUAACUGAUGCUGAGGCGCGAAAGCGUGGGGAGCAAACAGG